CCAGCCUCUCCCGGGGACCGCUCCGCAGUGCGAGCCAGCGGCUCGUUGCUGGCAGCGGGGCCGUUAGCCAAGCUCUCCAGCUCUCCUGCUGGGCCUGGGGCGUCACCUUAUCUUUCCCAGAAAAUGUGGCUUCGAUCAGCCAGAGUCCCCUCUUAUUGCUUGCAGGUAAAAUCCAGGCUGACACAGAGACGAAGACCAACGAGCUGGAUGAACACUGAGAACGACGCCUGUCGGGAGAUGCAGCCGUGCCUGGCAGCUGGGCCGCUGCGCCCGCCUCCCUGGAGAGCUGGGUGGGAACGUCGGGCGCUACUCCCGGAGGGGAAUGGACUCCACGGCUGGCAGCUCCAGGCAUUGGGGCAGACUGGCAGGGGGCCCGCGAGGGGCCUGAAGAACAGCCUACUGGUCAGAAAGCUGAACAUUUCACCUGAGCAAAGAUGGAAUGAAAACACGUUAGAUGGUAAGUAACCCAGGGGAGAAUGCC
Molecule: long non-coding RNA, 481 nt
Filed under: Dasypus novemcinctus (nine-banded armadillo)
Lineage: Eukaryota; Metazoa; Chordata; Mammalia; Cingulata; Dasypodidae
Description: lncRNA (ENSDNOG00000052023.1)
Source: RNAcentral